AGCAGUAGCCGCGGUAAUACGUAGGUGGCAAGCGUUGUCCGGAAUUAUUGGGCGUAAAGGGCUCGCAGGCGGUUUCUUAAGUCUGAUGUGAAAGCCCCCGGCUCUACCGGGGAGGGUCAUUGGAAACUGGGAAACUUGAGUGCAGAAGAGGAGAGUGGAAUUCCACGUGUAGCGGUGAAAUGCGUAGAGAUGUGGAGGAACACCAGUGGCGAAGGCGACUCUCUGGUCUGUAACUGACGCUGAGGAGCGAAAGCGUGGGGAGCGAACAGGAUUAGAUACCCCCGUAGUCCCUGUCUCUUAUAC
Molecule: ribosomal RNA, 303 nt
Filed under: uncultured bacterium
Lineage: Bacteria
Description: partial 16S ribosomal RNA
Rfam family: Bacterial small subunit ribosomal RNA
Source: RNAcentral